AACGAACGCUGGCGGCAGGCUUAACACAUGCAAGUCGAACGCACCUUUCGGGAUGAGUGGCAGACGGGUGAGUAACGCGUGGGAAUCUACCCUUCUCUACGGGAUAGCUCCGGGACACUGGAAUUAAUACCGUAUACGUCCUGAGGGUGCAAGAUUUAUCGUGGAAGGAUGAGCCCGCGUUGGAUUAGCUAGUUGGUGGGGUAAAGGCCUACCAAGGCGACGAUCCAUAGCUGGUCUAAGAGGAUGAUCAGCCACAUUGGGACUGAGACACGGCGCAAACUCCUAGGGGAGGCAGCAGUGGGGAAUAUUGGACAAUGGGCGCAAGCCUGAUCCAGCCAGGCCGCGUGAGUGAUGAAGGCGCUAGGGUUGUAAAGCUCUUUCAGUGGGGACGAUAAUGACGGUACCCACAGAAGAAGCCCCGGCUAACUUCGUG
Molecule: ribosomal RNA, 433 nt
Filed under: uncultured bacterium
Lineage: Bacteria
Description: partial 16S ribosomal RNA
Rfam family: Bacterial small subunit ribosomal RNA
Source: RNAcentral